Lolium rigidum is the source of this 871-nucleotide long non-coding RNA. RefSeq lists it as uncharacterized. The transcript has 3 exons. NCBI's taxonomy places the organism in Eukaryota, Viridiplantae, Streptophyta, Magnoliopsida, Poales, Poaceae. The record is from RefSeq and is a predicted model, not a curated record.
UUAUCUGGUGUGCUAGAAGGUUGAUCUUUAGACCGGAUGCCAUGGUCACUCUGCUGUCUUUUUGUGUCAUGCUCUUUGGAAGGUUGAUCUUUUUUUGUCAUGGCCUUUUGGUGAUCAGUAGCAGGGCGACGAGGCCUCUAAUGUGUCAUGCUCAACCCCAACUUGUCUAAAAAAUGACACCGGCCAGCAGCCCAACUUCUUGCGCGUUGAGCCCUAGAUUUUAAGCAUCUACAUAUCCAUGAACAUGCCCUCCUAAUUUUCACUGACGAUGUCAAAUCUAUGAUCUGCUAUUGCAAGAAGACUCACAAGCAACGAUGAGAUCUUCCACGUGAGGCGAAGUUUAGUACUAUGAAGCUUGUGUUAAUUGAGUGUAUGUUUUUUACGUAAAUUCAUUUAUGAACUAGGAUUAUUUAUCUCUGUCUAGCAGUAGUAUCAUGUCAGUAUUUGGUGCCUUAUAAAGAACCUGCUUUCUGUAAUUACUGGCAAAGUUUCGUAAUGAUCUUGGUUCUUCUUUGCCAAUAAUUUCUGCCUUAUAAACAUCUUUGUUUGAGCAGGUUCUAUUCUUUUAUCUAUGCCUAAAUGGUGACAAAAAUCAUGUUGGGGAGGGUUAACCUAUGUCAUAUCUUUGCCAAGAAUUCCUGAACCUAUUAGGAUAUAAAACUGAUGCUCCAACCAUGAUUUUACUUUCUAAUGUUUUCUUUGCAUUUGUGUUGACACAGCCUUAGAUCAUAGAGUUAUUUGGCUUAGGAGUCAUCGAGUAAUGCAGCAUGUGUGCUCGCAUGAUUUUCAUACCUAACGAGACAUCUGUGCUGUUGCCUUACAGAUGGAACCUAAGUAUAACCGUGACUUGGAUUUGCACAACUGCCAUUGC